RNAcentral lists this ribosomal RNA (243 nucleotides) under uncultured Actinomycetales bacterium. RNAcentral's name for it is "partial 16S ribosomal RNA". It matches the Rfam family "Bacterial small subunit ribosomal RNA", at positions 88 to 334 of the family's 1533-position model. The record is from RNAcentral. Lineage: Bacteria; Bacillati; Actinomycetota; Actinomycetes; Actinomycetales.
UACUCGAGUGGCGAACGGGUGAGUAACACGUGGGUGAUCUGCCCUGCACUUCGGGAUAAGCUUGGGAAACUGGGUCUAAUACCGGAUAGGAGCCAUCUUUAGUGUGGUGGUUGGAAAGUUUUUUUGGUGUAGGAUGAGCUCGCGGCCUAUCAGCUUGUUGGUGGGGUAAUGGCCUACCAAGGCGGCGACGGGUAGCCGGCCUGAGAGGGUGUACGGCCACAUUGGGACUGAGAUACGGCCCAG